RNAcentral lists this ribosomal RNA (465 nucleotides) under uncultured bacterium. RNAcentral's name for it is "partial 16S ribosomal RNA". It matches the Rfam family "Bacterial small subunit ribosomal RNA", at positions 339 to 795 of the family's 1533-position model. The record is from RNAcentral.
CUACGGGCCGCUCCAGUCGAGAAUCAUUCGCAAUGCGCGAAAGCGUGACGAUGCGACGCUGCGUGGAGGAUGAAGGCCCUCGGGUCGUAAUCUCCUGUCAGGAGGGAAAAGCCGGCACUUGGUCAAUACCCUUGUGCCCCGAUGGUACCUCCAGAGGAAGCCACGGCUAACUCUGUGCCAGCAGCCGCGGUAAUACAGAGGUGGUGAGCGUUGUUCGGAUUUACUGGGCGUAAAGGGUGCGUAGGCGGCGUGCAAAGCUGGAUGUGAAAUCCCGGGGCUCAACCCCGGAACUGCAUCCGGAACUGGCAUGCUAGAGACCAGGAGGGGAGAGCAGAAUUCUAGGUGUAGCGGUGAAAUGCGUUGAUAUCUAGAAGAAUACCGGUGGCGAAGGCGGCUCUCUGGAAUGGUUCUGACGCUGAGGCACGAAAGCGUGGGGAGCAAACAGGAUUAGAUACCCUAGUAGUC